This 581-nucleotide long non-coding RNA is filed under the name Ananas comosus (pineapple). Its description in RNAcentral is "long non-coding RNA (ACOM_LNC043453)". Lineage: Eukaryota; Viridiplantae; Streptophyta; Magnoliopsida; Poales; Bromeliaceae. The record is from RNAcentral.
UAAAACACAGCGGAAAUUUUUUUAAAAACCUGACCCCAGGGUAUGCCAAAUCCGCCACAAAUACAGAAAAUUCACUGUUCACACGGACAGAGUCUCCCCUGUAUUUGCACGGCGUCGCACAAGUACAAGAGUAUAACCAGGAUACAACCACCAUAAUGAAUAAACAACAAUCAAUAUUCAUUCACCAUUCAUCACAGAUUUACCAUUCAUAAUUCCAUGACUAUUAGUUAAAACGUUUCCAACUCAGAAACGGGUUUUGAAAUAUUAAGUUAUGAAAACCACGAGAAAGCUGUUUGAAAUCCGUUUUUCAUAAGGAAACUCUUUUCCUUUAAAACACGCUACCACGAGGGUAGAAAACCUUUCCAUUUCACAAAAUCCACAAAUUCAUUUAUUAUAUUCAUGAAAACCCAUAUUUUCAAAUGUAAUAAAAAUACUGAAUCAUAUAAACUAUCUAAGCUAUAUCAACAGAACAGUAAGGGUAGGAACUAAACCGAAUAACCUGGGUCGGAAGCUCUAUCGACCGCUACGUACGUUCUCACGUCUCGUCUCAACUCUCAUCGCCCGCGAUACCUGAAAAAAAU